AACAUCGCGCACCUGCGGGAACCUGCGGAGGGAUCAUUACAGAGUUGCAAAACUCCCUAAACCAUUGUGAACGUUACCUAAACCGUUGCUUCGGCGGGCGGCCCGGGUCCUUCCCGGCGCCCCUCGGCCCUCGCGGGCGCCCGCCGGAGGUAAACCAAACUAUUGCAUUGUAUGGCCUCUCUGAGUCUUCUGUACUGAAUAAGUCAAAACUUUUAACAACGGAUCUCAGAUCGGAAGAGC
Molecule: unclassified non-coding RNA, 240 nt
Filed under: soil metagenome
Description: partial contains 5.8S ribosomal RNA, internal transcribed spacer 2, and large subunit ribosomal RNA
Source: RNAcentral